RNAcentral lists this ribosomal RNA (253 nucleotides) under uncultured bacterium. Its description in RNAcentral is "partial 16S ribosomal RNA". It matches the Rfam family "Bacterial small subunit ribosomal RNA", at positions 524 to 776 of the family's 1533-position model. The record is from RNAcentral.
UACGGAGGGUGCGAGCGUUGUUCGGAAUCAUUGGGCGUAAAGCGCGUGUAGGCGGGCUGGCAAGUCAGGUGUGAAAUCCCGGGGCUCAACCUCGGAAUUGCGCCUGAAACUGCUGGUCUUGAGUACGGGAGGGGGCAGCGGAAUUCUUGGUGUAGGGGUGAAAUCCGUAGAUAUCAGGAGGAACACCGAUGGCGAAGGCAGCUGCCUGGACCAGUACUGACGCUGAGACGCGAAAGCGUGGGGAGCAAACAGG